Molecule: ribosomal RNA, 367 nt
Filed under: Naumovozyma castellii
Lineage: Eukaryota; Fungi; Ascomycota; Saccharomycetes; Saccharomycetales; Saccharomycetaceae
Description: partial small subunit ribosomal RNA
Source: RNAcentral
UGCAAAUUAUACGUUUUAUAUAUAUAAUAUAUAAAAUAUGUAGUGCAAACGUGAGUAAAAAAUAUGAAUAUAAGAACUAUAAAUAAAGUUAAAUACUUUAUAAAUAUAUAUAUAUAUAUUAAUAUAUAAAUAUAUAUAAAAAGAAUAUUAUAUAAAAUAAUAUUUGUUUAUAGUCUAUCAUAUAAUGGUUUAGGUAGUAGGUAUUAUAAAGGUUAUACCUAGCCAACGAUCCAUAAUCAUUAAUUAAAGUUAUAAUGAUCACGUUGAUUUUGAAAUAUAAUCAAUAUCUAUAUGAUACAGCAGUGGGGAAUAUUGGACAAUGGUAUAAAUACUGAUCCAGUAACUUAUAAGAAUGAUAUAUAAUCAA